This is a long non-coding RNA of Oreochromis aureus, 2578 nucleotides long. NCBI's taxonomy places the organism in Eukaryota, Metazoa, Chordata, Actinopteri, Cichliformes, Cichlidae. The record is from Ensembl.
UGAGAAAAUCAGACCAUGUCAUAACUGCUUUAAGUCAUACAGAACAGAUAUCAGAGCCUUAAACAGGCCGACUUCUGCUAAAUGGGUCAAACUGGGCAGAAACUAUACAAACACAUAACAUCCUUAUAGAAUAUGAUGUAACACUAUAGAUCAACUUAGCUCAGAAUAUAUAAAGCAUAUAAACAAUUACAGCAAUAUGAUGCAACAAACACAGCAGUACUACUAAUCCAAAAUACUCAAAGCUUCAUAGAACUGAAACAAACAUUUAUUUUUAGCUCCACUCUGCUGCUGAUACAUACUUUAGGUUUCUGAAUAUUAAACGUGUUGCUGCCUUUCAUAGUGUGUAACCUGAAGGCCCUGAGUACUUUCUCCCACACUGAAAACACUGGAAUGAUAACAUUAUUUGAACAUUACCUAAUAAGACUGAUUCAGCACAGACAAUUAGUUAUUUUAAACUUUUCUAGCAGUCCUUCACAAACAGGGAACAGUCUGUCUAUUCUCUCCAUCUGUCAGCUGCUGCUGGCUCUUCCUCCUCCUCUUCCUCACACACUGCUGAGUUUGUCCUGGUGGAUCAUCAGGGGUGCAAAGCCUCACAGAUGAUGUGCAGCAGUGGGUCCCUCAGUCUGUCCUCACUCUGGACACUUGCAGUUGUCACACAUGGAAAUCAACUGUGUGAUAAGCUGCAGGAUUCAAACACAAGUGUAACUUAUAAAUACAUGUUCAUACUUUUAUUCCACAAUCAGAGAGAAAGAAACAGAGAGAGUGUGCAGGACAGACAGACAGGUGACAGUCUCAGGUGUACACACUGCUACAAAACAGCACAAGAGAAGGAGGAUUUAGUGUUUGUGUUAUUACGAGUGCUGAACAAGAAGAGUUCCCAGAUGGUCCAGUGGACACAUGUGUGACAGUCUCAGGUGUACACACUGCUACAAAACAGCACAAGAGAAGGAGGAUUUAGUGUUUGUGUUAUUACGAGUGCUGAACAAGAAGAGUUCCCAGAUGGUCCAGUGGACACAUGUGUGACUCCUGUGAUUAAAGCAUCUUUCUUUCAGCUUAACGAAUGAACCGUCAGCUCGUUCAAACACACGUUAAAGUCCGUUUGGCUCGACACCACCGAACAGAGGCAGCAAUAUAACAUAGCUAACAUUAACAGUGCAGUGAAUCCUGCUUGUGCCGUUGUUGUGGCUUUAUGCAGUGUUGCUCCAACUGCCAGUUUAACGUGGGUUGCGGCCAAGGCCAACUUUUGAUAAAGCACAGAGGACUGAGACGAGGCAAUGGUGGAGGUCCGAACUUUUACUACCAACACUCGAAAACCCAAACACAUACAAUACCCCAGCGCCACCUACGGGUGGGAGGUAGUAAUAACUGCUGCUUAUUACAAUAUACCACAUCCUUCCUUUCCGAGAUAAAGAUACAACCUCUUAACUCCAAUAUCUUGUAACAUGAAUGUACCCUUUAAACCGCAGGAACAUUAUCAAUAUUAUAUUCAUGGGACAUUAGGUCAAACACACCUUAGAUUGCCUAUCACCUGAACAAUGCAAAUACAUAUCAGUGCAGUAUUUUGAAACAGACGAACACGUGACAAAUUGGAUGAGACAUGUCAAAAUGAACAUAUGAAACAUGACAUAUUUCGCUCUUUUCAACAAGACAGUUAUCUAACUUGUGCACAACAACUCAGGUACGGGGUAGAGCGAUUUUAAGUUUCCAAAUCACUUAGUCUCUAUAUCUGGCAGGGCGUAUUAUUGCUCGGCCACUGCGUGUGUAGCAUGUGGGUGUAUUGUCCAUACUUGCAGGACGAGGGUGUUGUGGAGUGUCACUUGCUGAUGGCGCAACUGGCUCUUCGGUGUGUUCAGACAGAUCAUCUGGGUCCAUGGAUGUAUCCUUAAACAGACUUGGGUGUAUUUUCCUCAGAUGUCUCCUGUUCCGCCUGAGCACCUCACCCUCUGGUGUUUGCACAGCGUAGGAGCGUGGUUCCUCUCGCUGAUGUGCUACAACAGCCGGCUCCCAACCGCGCCAUGUUUGCAUGUGCACAGUAUCGCCUGAGGUCAAAACAGGCAAUGGUCUUGCAUGCUGAUCAAAGUGGUAUUUCCUUUUUGACUGCAGUCCACGCACUUUAACGUGAAGGUUCUGUGGGGUUGACUGUCUCAACACAGCACUGGCGCAUGGCAGUGUGCUGCGGAGAACCCGCCCCAUCAACAUUUGUGCAGGUGACACACUCAGUCCUGUGACUGGAGUGUUCCUCAGAGAUAACAGCACUAGAUGUGGAUCCGCUCCAGUCGCGCCGCUUUUUAAGUGCAUGUUUAACAGUCUUUAUGGCUCGCUCCGCCAUUCCAUUCGAAGAAGGAAAGCCGGGACUGGAGAAAGUUAGCUUUAUCUCCCAGGAUGCUGCAAACGAUCUCAUCUCGUAGCUGGCAAAUGGAACAUGAUCGCUCACUAUCUCUUUGGGAAUUCCGUGUCUUGCAAAGACUGAUUUCAUCUUCUGAAUCACAGAGUGUGCCGUUUUGUCAGGUAAGUUAAGAACUUCUGGGUAUUUGGAUAAAUAAUCAACUAACAAAAGAUACGACUGACCGUUCAGUUC